CAGGAUUUGACAUGGCCGGGACCACUAUGGAGACAUAGCUUCCUUCGGGACUCGGUCACAGGUGCUGCAUGGCUGUCGUCAGCUCGUGCCGUGAGGUGUUGGGUUAAGUCCCGCAACGAGCGCAACCCUCAUUGCUAGUUGGAGAUGUCUAGCAAGACUGCCGCGAUCAACGUGGAGGAAGGUGGGGAUGACGUCAAGUCAGCACGGCCCUGACAUCCUGGGCGACACACACGCUACAAUGGUCGGUACAGAGGGUCGCCAACCCGCGAGGGGGAGCCAAUCCCAACAAAACCGAUCUCAGUUCGGAUUGGAGGCUGAAACCCGCCUCCAUGAAGGUGGAGUUGCUAGUAACCGUGAGUCAGCCACAUCACGGUGAAUACGUUCCC
RNAcentral lists this ribosomal RNA (386 nucleotides) under uncultured bacterium. RNAcentral's name for it is "bacterial SSU rRNA". It matches the Rfam family "Bacterial small subunit ribosomal RNA", at positions 975 to 1375 of the family's 1533-position model. The record is from RNAcentral.